Molecule: ribosomal RNA, 253 nt
Filed under: uncultured bacterium
Lineage: Bacteria
Description: partial 16S ribosomal RNA
Rfam family: Bacterial small subunit ribosomal RNA
Source: RNAcentral
UACGUAGGGUACAAGCGUUGUCCGGAUUUAUUGGGCGUAAAGCGAGCGCAGGCGGAAAAAUAAGUCUGAUGUGAAAGCCCUCGGCUUAACCGAGGAACUGCAUCGGAAACUGUUUUUCUUGAGUGCAGAAGAGGAGAGUGGAACUCCAUGUGUAGCGGUGGAAUGCGUAGAUAUAUGGAGGAACACCAGUGGCGAAGGCGGCUCUCUGGUCUGUAACUGACGCUGAUGUGCGAAAGCAUGGGUAGCGAACAGG